GUCACGUUCAAGACUGCUUACCAGGUGAACAGCUCCACGUUUACGACUUCACAAGGAGUAAAGCUACCUCAUAUCCCUGCAUUCUGUGAUUUCUCCUGAAGCCCAGCAAUCCUCAUUGAAAUCAAAGGAGUUACAGAUUCUGCACCAAGUUUCUAACCUGGUACAAGAUCCACGGGUCCAUUUCCCAGCAUUUGCCUCUAAUGGCAUUUUCAGAAAAAACUGGCUGGGAAGCCAAUCACAUUGGGCCAAAAUGUACAGAUCUCUGGGCACCAAUUACAUUGAGAACAGCUGGUGAUGUUCAUCUCGUGGGUCAGCUGGUCACUGACUUCCAAAUUUGCAAUUUAGAGAUGAGCUGGUGUCACCAUGAAAUCUCGUAGUGAAACACAACCGUAGUGAGCUGAGGAAAUAAGUGGCUAAUGCAUUCUUUUGAAUGGGUUCACUAACUUUCACUGGAAAUGUAAAUGUGGUUUGUGUGUUUUACCUGAUUUAAUUUUAUGUCAUGUUUCUUAGAAAUCUUAGUAGAUUCAUCUAUUCUAAAGGUAACUUCUACUUUUUAAAUACUUUUUUGAUUAUUUAUGAUUGUUAUUAUUUGUGUUUGAAAUAUUUUUAAAUGAUUGUCAAAGACAUUUAAAAAGAGCUAAGUAGUCUGUUGACUGUAGUGAGCUGUUAAAAGCUAGUAAAAUGGCCCCAUUAUCUGC
Molecule: long non-coding RNA, 698 nt
Organism: Pristis pectinata (smalltooth sawfish)
Lineage: Eukaryota; Metazoa; Chordata; Chondrichthyes; Rhinopristiformes; Pristidae
Exons: 2
Source: RefSeq, a predicted model, not a curated record